This is a non-coding RNA of Xyrichtys novacula (pearly razorfish), 493 nucleotides long. NCBI's taxonomy places the organism in Eukaryota, Metazoa, Chordata, Actinopteri, Labriformes, Labridae. The record is from the annotation of a GenBank genome assembly.
UGGGUCUUUGGGGAGCCUGGUCUUUAGCUUGGACCAAUGCAAAUACACUUGGAGAUGAGCCUUCAAGAUAAAUGAAAGAAAGAGUCAAAAAAGCACAAAGAGCGGGAGGACUGAGAUCUUGUCAUGAAGCGGAGCAAAGGAGUGGAGCAUGAUGGACUGCAGAGAUAGGCUGUAAAACUAAGCUUGACUGCGUAUCCGGGUGUUUUCUUGAGCGACGCAUUGUUCAUUGAAAGUGAAAUGCUGAUUAUAAUUGAGAGAACCACACAGGAGCACGUUCAAAUAGCUCAUUUGGAGCAUGUGUCAUCGCUUACGGCCAUACCACCCUGAACACGCCCGAUCUCGUCCGAUCUCGGAAGCUAAGCAGGGUCGGGCCUGGUUAGUACUUGGAUGGGAGACCGCCUGGGAAUACCAGGUGCUGUAAGCUUUUCUUUUCUUGUAUCUUGUGCCGUGUUCUCUCUCCAAGAGGCUAGGAUAUGGGUCUUUGGGGAGCCUG